RNAcentral lists this ribosomal RNA (1390 nucleotides) under Bacteroides fragilis. RNAcentral describes it as "bacterial SSU rRNA". The record is from RNAcentral. Lineage: Bacteria; Pseudomonadati; Bacteroidota; Bacteroidia; Bacteroidales; Bacteroidaceae.
CAGUCGAGGGGCAUCAGGAAGAAAGCUUGCUUUCUUUGCUGGCGACCGGCGCACGGGUGAGUAACACGUAUCCAACCUGCCCUUUACUCGGGGAUAGCCUUUCGAAAGAAAGAUUAAUACCCGAUAGCAUAAUGAUUCCGCAUGGUUUCAUUAUUAAAGGAUUCCGGUAAAGGAUGGGGAUGCGUUCCAUUAGGUUGUUGGUGAGGUAACGGCUCACCAAGCCUUCGAUGGAUAGGGGUUCUGAGAGGAAGGUCCCCCACAUUGGAACUGAGACACGGUCCAAACUCAUACGGGAGGCAGCAGUGAGGAAUAUUGGUCAAUGGGCGCUAGCCUGAACCAGCCAAGUAGCGUGAAGGAUGAAGGCUCUAUGGGUCGUAAACUUCUUUUAUAUAAGAAUAAAGUGCAGUAUGUAUACUGUUUKGUAUGUAUUAUAUGAAUAAGGAUCGGCUAACUCCGUGCCAGCAGCCGCGGUAAUACGGAGGAUCCGAGCGUUAUCCGGAUUUAUUGGGUUUAAAGGGAGCGUAGGUGGACUGGUAAGUCAGUUGUGAAAGUUUGCGGCUCAACCGUAAAAUUGCAGUUGAUACUGUCAGUCUUGAGUACAGUAGAGGUGGGCGGAAUUCGUGGUGUAGCGGUGAAAUGCUUAGAUAUCACGAAGAACUCCGAUUGCGAAGGCAGCUCACUGGACUGCAACUGACACUGAUGCUCGAAAGUGUGGGUAUCAAACAGGAUUAGAUACCCUGGUAGUCCACACAGUAAACGAUGAAUACUCGCUGUUUGCGAUAUACAGUAAGCGGCCAAGCGAAAGCAUUAAGUAUUCCACCUGGGGAGUACGCCGGCAACGGUGAAACUCAAAGGAAUUGACGGGGGCCCGCACAAGCGGAGGAACAUGUGGUUUAAUUCGAUGAUACGCGAGGAACCUUACCCGGGCUUAAAUUGCAGUGGAAUGAUGUGGAAACAUGUCAGUGAGCAAUCACCGCUGUGAAGGUGCUGCAUGGUUGUCGUCAGCUCGUGCCGUGAGGUGUCGGCUUAAGUGCCAUAACGAGCGCAACCCUUAUCUUCAGUUACUAACAGGUCAUGCUGAGGACUCUGGAGAGACUGCCGUCGUAAGAUGUGAGGAAGGUGGGGAUGACGUCAAAUCAGCACGGCCCUUACGUCCGGGGCUACACACGUGUUACAAUGGGGGGUACAGAAGGCAGCUAGCGGGUGACCGUAUGCUAAUCCCAAAAUCCUCUCUCAGUUCGGAUCGAAGUCUGCAACCCGACUUCGUGAAGCUGGAUUCGCUAGUAAUCGCGCAUCAGCCACGGCGCGGUGAAUACGUUCCCGGGCCUUGUACACACCGCCCGUCAAGCCAUGGGAGCCGGGGGUACCUGAAGUACGUAACCGCAAGGAU